CGGAUCCUACCCCAACCCCCGCCACCACCACCAGCUCCACACUCCCCUUUGCUUCCCGCCGCCCGCCGAAGCCGUCUCCGGCGAGGACCCGACCGGCGACACCGCCUCUUCCCCGGCGGCUCGCCCGCGGCCAGGCGCGCCCUUUCCUCCCUACCCGCGCUCUGGCCCUGGCUCCUCCUCUCUUCGUCCGGGGCCCCGGGUCACCUCCUCGCGUCUGGUUUGGGUUCACUCCUCCUCGGUUCGUCGUCCGUCCGCUUAGGCUUAGAGCGCCCGAUUUGAUUUUGCUCGUGCUCGGUUCUUCGGUUCACAAGUCGCGCCUGGUUUGGUUUUUCUCGUCCUCGCCGUCGCCCGUUCGGGGCCGCGCCUGGUUUGAAUUCGCUCGUCCCUCGCCGUCGUCCGUGUAGAGUCGCGUCCGAUUCGAUUUCGCUCGUCCUCGCCGUCGUCCGUUUAGAGUCGCGUCCGAUUCGAUUUCGCUUGUCCUCGUCGUUGUCUUGGUGCGUGCGCUCGCAUGUUCUUUGGUCGUCUCCUCUCGCCGGGGUUCUCCGUCUCGUUUGCGAACUAGCAAUUCUUUCUACGUGCGCUUUCGUGUUCGCGUCAGUUGCAGGAACGAACGGGUCUGAUUUCGAAAUUGGAUUAGUUUAUCGUGCUAGUUGAGAUUGGUUCCGUCACCUGCGUUGCUCUUGGUGAUUUUCAGAACUCAAACGCAUGCUCUCUUGUGAUACUCUGUCAGUUCUUGUUGGCCCUCUGUCAGUUCUUGUUGGCCCUCUUGUCAAUUCUUGUUGGCCCUCUUGUCAAUUCUUGAGGGCCAGGGUCCGUUAAUUCUUGAUUGCUUGUUGUACCGGCUAGGCGUGUGUGCAGUCAUCCUAGGUGCAGAGACGCUUGUUCUGAUGGUGUAUACUGUUUAUGUUAUUUCCAAUUUGUUUCUUUUUACCAUGCUUUGCUGAUGUGUUCCGAGUUGAAAACUUUUACAAGAGUGCAAACCAUGUGGCCUACUUGACUAAUUGAACACCUGUUGCUGCACCUGUUGGACAAGGUUCCUUCUUUUGAUGCUGCUAUUUCCAUGUAACUACUCAUCAUAGGAGUACUAUAGAUGAGGUGCUGCUAGUUAGUUCUCCUUAGACUUCGUUCUAGAUUGCAUAGCAUAACUCCAGAAUUUUGUCAUUGCACACCUGGGCAUAUAUUUCUGUUGUGAGCAUAACUCCAGAAUUUAUUUAUCCAUGAAAGCACGUUCACCACAUGUUCUUUUAUCAAUGCUGCUAACUUCUGUCAUGUCCCUUUCCUUCGGACAACAAUUUCAACGAACCUCUAAUGUGGACAUGUGCUGCUUGUUUUCUUGUUUUCUUAUAUCCAGUUGACUAGCACAACUCUUAUGCUGUGACAUUUGUUAAUCCCCAGUUAGUGUGCCUGAAAAAUUAUUGCUUGUCCUGUUAAAUUUUGUGGCAUCAACUCGGUAUUGUGAUUAAUGACCUAGUAUUUGUUUAGUGUAGACAGCUAACUUAUUUUUUCUUAAAUUUUUAGUGAUAUGCGUGUUUUGUUAUGUCUUAUGUUGAUAGUAUAUUCUUUUUUUUGUAUUACUCAUGUCCAGUCACUAGAAUAAUGCUUUUCUUCAUUUGCCUAGACUUUGUGACAAUUAAUUUAUAGUGCGAUCAUUGAUUGUUGAUCAUUGAGCUUCUAACAUCCCAUUGCGUAAAAUUCUGUUGUAAUGUUUGUUGGAUCAUUGAGUAAUUAAUUGAUUCUGAGUUUGUUAGAUCAUUGAACUUCUGCGUGUGCUUCUGUUAUCUGAGAGACACUCACGAUCCUGUGUUUCGUGUUUGCGGUGGAGCGAUGAACAAUUACAUUUCGUGUUCCUGUGUUUCGUAUUUGCGGCGGAGUGAUGAACGAUUACGUUUCGUGUUCCUGCGUUUCGUGUUCGCCGUUCUGGUUUGAAGGAUUACAAAGGUAGGGAGAGGCCAAAGCAAGGUCAGUUUUAGAUUGUUUCCAUCGCUGCGUUGUUCGUCGGCGAUUUCUAGACCUCAAACGCAUGCCUCCGUGUGAUACUCUGGUUUGGCUCGCUGGUCGUUAUGGUUGUUCUUAUGUUCUUGCAUAACCCCAUCUUAUAGGCAGAGAUGGGGUGAUUCGUUAUGGUUCUUCUGAUGGUUGCUUAUGUUCUUUCCAAUUGGGUUCUUUUUGUAAUGCUUUGCUUAUGUUCCCAAUGUCUGUUUUUCCAUAUAUGGAGAUGUGUUCAGAGGUGCAAACCGUGUAGGCCGUGGUGUGUUUUAUACUAUCUAUGGUGUGUAGGCCGUAAUGAUUAUAUUGAUAUCACUUCUGUGCUAGUAUACUAGAUAUGGUGUGUUUUAUCCAAGUUAUUAACCACAUCUCUUACAAAUUUUCCUCACACCAGUACAUGUUUAUAUGACAGGAGUGAUUGAUGCCCUGACGAAUAUAAUCAUUUAUGCUAACUUGGUAUUGGUAUUUCUUGAUCAUAGGUACAAACUUGUGGAUCUGGACAUGUCACAUUUGCUCUUUAUUGUGUUGCUAAGGACACUGAACGGUCUGGCUGGGCCAAAUCAGGAAGUGUUGCUAUGGAUCAAAUCUGUAAUGGAAGAGAAUGGGAGUAACAUUACAACUGACCAACUUAAAGAUUAUGUAUGGAAGACACUGAAGACUGGAAAGGUUGUAGUGAUUAGAGAGAAGCUUGCAGGACUUUAUGAAUCUGAACAACAAUGGUUGAGAGCAACACAAAUGCUUAGUGGCAUUGAGUUGGACUCAGGAAUCAGGUUGAAACAAGCUUCUGUCUCUCUUUACAUGUCAUUGGAUUUUCUUUCUUUUUUUUUUCGAGAAAACGCAAAGGACUCUUUGCGUUUCAUUUCAUUGAAAAGGUGAGAAGAUACAAUCCUCCUAGGAGGUGGUGGUUACAUGGAUUGGCCACCUAUCAGUGGACAUCCCAGUUAUAGGGGAGGACUACCCUGAGACCCAAAGCGCCAGCUUGUGCCCAACAUGUGGCUUCGGCCUUAAUCUUAUCUACGAGUACGGUGACCGAGGGGCGCGCGUUCUCGAAGACGCACUCAUUGCGGUGUUUCCAGAUCAUCCAAGGGACGAGCAUGGCGAUGGAUUGCAGGCCUUUCCGUAGCGCGUGUGGGGUCUGCCCUUUCGUACGUUGCCACCAGUCCGUGAGGGUGGGUUCGUUGCUUGGCGGUUGAGAAGGUAUCCUCGCCCAAGCCAGCACGUCAUGCCAGACCUGCCACGAGAACGGGCAUUCUAGGAGCAGGUGCCACAUCGUCUCUGGGGCCUGAUCACAAAGAAGGCAUCGUGGGUGGUGUUGUAGGCCGCGACGGGCGAGUCUGUCUGCCGUCCAACACCGGUCCUGGCUAGCCAGCCAAUGAAAGAAAUGGACACGGCGUGGUGCCCAGCUCUUCCAGGUAAGCUUCCAGGAAGGGCAUUUCAUGGAUCCGUGGAAGGUUGCGGCGUAGCAUGACCGUGCCGUAUAAGUGCCACUGGCCGUCCAUCUCCAGAGCAUGCGGUCGGGCCGGUUUGACAAGUCGAUGUGCUGCACUGCCUGCCAAAGUCUGAGAUAUUGGCCAAUCUCAUGGAUCCCUAUCACUCCUUGAAUGCCACGGGCCCAGGCAUUGCCCGCUAGGCCGGCGGCCACCGUUCUUGACUUGCGUUGCCGUUUGGGGAUGCAUUGGUAGAGUGCCGGUGCAAAUUCACGCACGGACUGACCGUUUAGCCAUCGGUCAUCCCAAAACAGCGCCGUUUGUCCAUCGCCGAGCUGCAUGAUCGUCGAGGCGAAGAACAACGCACGCUCCUCGCUGGAAAACUGGAGGUCGAGGCCUCGCCAUGCGCGGUCGUCGUCCGUGUGGGAGAGCCACAUCCAGCGCAGGCGCAGCGCUAGGCCAGCACGCUCCAGAUCCUGGACCCCGAGUCCGCCGUACUCGAGCGGGCGGCACACCCUUCGCCAGUUGACGUGGCAGUGUCCACCAUUGGCAGCAGCUCGCCCAGCCCAGUCUGGGAAAUCUGACCAUCUUCUUAAAAACCAGGAUGCUUGAUGACACAAACAAAUUAUCCAAGUGUGUCCAGAUUGCAUGACUCUAUUUGAAGGAUGAUGAUGCAGUGAAUGCUGAAGCUUUUAUCAACAAAGCCUCGUUUUUGGUCACAAACAACAACCAGGAAGUUCUGAACUUACAAUACAAGGUCUGCUAUGCGAAAAUUUUAGAUCUAAAGCGUAAAUUCUUGGAAGCUGCACUUCGAUACUCUGGUAUCUCUCAAAUUGAGCAAUGCCAAAUUGGGGAUGAGUAAGGAUUACUCCAUUCAGUUGUAGAUUUGCUUCUCUCUUCUGCAGUUUACUCCCUUUUAAUGUUCUGUCUUGUAUGGUUUUUUGUUGACUUGCCGGUGUAGUCUCAGUGAAACGUAUUAUUAUUCCCUUUCAGGAACGAAGAUAUGAAUCACCCUCACCCCUCUAGAGAAAUCAGUUUACUCAUUCAAGUUUUGGAGUUUCAUAGUUUUCUGAGUUUAUUUCAGUCUUGCAUGAAUGCAUGUAUUAGCUUUCUCUUUGUGCCCCUAUCUAUGCCUAUUUCUUGUGUGCAAGCGCUCCAUUCUGUGUGUGUGACUAUGUGAUUUGAUGGUGAAUAUGUGUGUGGCUUGACUAUGUGAGUGUGGCUUGAUUAUGUCGUGGCUUGAUUGUGUGUGUGGCUUGGCUGUGUGUGUGAGAUUGUAUGUGGCUUGACUCUGUGUGUGUGAGGGCUUGAUGGUGAAUAUGUGUGUGGCUUGACUCUGUGUGUGUGACUCUGUGUGAAUAUUGCAUUUUCUUGAUGGUGUGGCUUGUAUAACUUGUGUUCUAUAUGUCACGAUUGAUUGUUGUUUGUUGAAUGUGAACAGACCUAACACUAUUCUUUUUUCUGAACUUUUUUGUGAUUAUGUCUUAUGUGGAUAUCAUACUCUUUUUUGUAUUACUGCUGUCUUGGAAUAACGCUUUUCUAAGUAUUUAAGGUGCAGACAUGUGGAUCUGGACAUGUCAAAUUUGCUCUUUAUUGUGUUGCUAAGGACACUGAUGGGUUGGGUUUGCAUACAACGCAGUAUGGACCAACAACAUGGUCUCAUUGCAAGGCGGAGAUAUAGGCAACCAAUGUCAAGAGCGGUGGCAUAAUCAUCUGAAUCCAGACAUACAGAGAGAUGCUUGGACUAUUGAGAGGAGGAGCAUGCACUGAUUAACGCCCAUUGGGUACAUGGGAAUAAAUUGGCAGAAAUAGCAAAAGUUCUUCCUAGAAGGUUCUUCUCACCUAUAGCUAAAGUCAAAGACGACAAACCAAGUGAAUUAAUGGAGUUGCAAGAUACACAGAAUCAUCGGCUAGCCAUCAGCUUGGAAGUCAUAAGAGGCAACCACUGUUGUCAACUUGAAACGUAUAAUUUUUUAGGAACGAAGAUCUGAAUCAUCCUCACGCCUCGAGAGAAAUCAGUUUAGUCAUCCAUGUCCUGAAAUUUAUUUAUAGCUUUCAGAGUUUACUUUAGUCUUGCAUGUAUUUGCUUUCUGUUUGUGCGCCUAUCUAUGUCUGUUCUUUUUGUUGUGUGCAAGCGCUUCAUUUUGUGUGUGUGACUGUCUGACUGUGUGGCUUGACUUUGUGACUAUGUGUGUGGCUCUAUAUGAAUAUUGCAUUUGACUAUGAUGUGUGACUGUAUUUGCUUUCUGUUUGUGCGCCUAUCUAUGUGUGUUUGUCUGUGUGUGUAUGUGCGACUCUGUGAAUAUUGUGCAUUUGACUGUGAUGUGUGACUGUGUAUGUGACUCUGAAUAUUUCAUUUGACUGUGACUUUGUGUUUGUGUGUGUGUGUGACUGUGUGUGUGGCUUGUAUGCUUUGCUGAAUGAUUGGUUGUUGUGGCCUAACACUGCCUUUGCCGGUCCCAAGCCUGGAUGUGAAAAUGUGGAGGGAGCUGCAGUUACCUCCUUUGUAUUGUUUUCCUUAGAAGUGUGGAUAGAAAUUUGUGCGUGACGGCAAAUAUUGCAUUUGACUGUGAUGUGUGACUCUGUGUGUGUGACUCUGAAUAUUGUGCAUUUGACUAUGAUGUGUGACUAUGUGUGUGACUAUGAAUAUUGCAUUUUGAUUGACUUUGUGUGUGUGUGUGUGUGGUUUGUGUGUGUGUGACUGUGUGUAGCUUGACUGUGUGUGUUGCUUGUAUGCUUUGCUGAAUGAUUGGUUGUUGUGGCCCAACACUGCCUUUGCCGGUCCCAAGCCCGGAUGUGAAAAUAUGGAGGGAGCUGCAGUUGCCUCCUUUGUAUUGUUUGCCUUAGAAGUGUGGAUGGAAAUUUAUGUUUUAGGUUAUUGUCCUAAUCGAAUAGUGCAUCUUAACAUAAUGUGGGAUUCAAGCUUGAAAUGCGCAGCCAACUCCGCCUCCGCCUUCAUAAGUCAUGGGUCAAUCGUUAAUACGACGUCUGUGGUCCGGUCGACCCGCUGUCCAACCUUGCUACCUCUCCGAUCCAACCGGAGUUUGUGCAAAGUGCGUCUGGACUUCCCAUGUCCGCCCCGCCCUCAAUCUUCCCUUUUUAGCUCUAAUUUUUCCCUUUUUUUCUUCCCUCACGCGACUCCUUCUGUUCUGCCCCCUGUCGAUCCCCCCAAUCUCACCUUCCGAACGCAGCCAACUCCGCCUCCGCCUCCUUCGUGUGGCCAGCAGCGGCACACACCACGCGUUUUUCGCUGAGAUUGUUGCAUGACAGGAUCGACGGUGGCAGGCGGGUCUGCCGCCCCAACGACAGUAUGGCCUGGCCUGAACCCUGAGGAGUGUGGGGCUCAGCGACGUCUUUUGCUUUCUGAUUAUUGAUUGAUUUGUUCCUCACAGUAAUUUUUUAUGACAUUUCAUGAUUUUUUUUCCAGUUUCGUAGCAUAAUGUGUGUUCCUCACAGGCUAGAAACGCAAUUAACUCAAUCCUGUGAAUAUGUAGUUUAUAGGCAGGUGUGUACAGUUAGGCUCAAGUUUCAUAGUGUAAAACUCUCAUCUUGAUAUGCCAAUUUUGUCAUUUAUGUUGCAUGGCCGAUUUGGCAUCCAAUCCAAUGCAUCCCAUGCCUAUCUUAUUUAUCUCAGUCAUCAGAGCAUCCAAUCCAAUGCAUUCCAUGCCUAUCUUAUUUAUCUCAGUUAUCAGAGCACCCAUUUUUGUGAUAUGUGUGUUUGGAUAUCAUAUUCUAUUUUUGUAUUACUGUUGUCCAGUCAUUGGAAUAGUGCUUUUCUGAGUAUUUAAGGUACAUACAUGUGGAUAUGGACAUGUCACAUUUGCUCUUUAUUGUGUUGCUAAGGACACUGUUCCUACAGCAGUGUCUGAACAUGGCACAGUUCCAACAUCAACUCAAUCAUGGGGCGCAUCUGCAACAAUUGGAUAUUUUCAUCCAGCUCCUGUACCAGCACAAGCAUCACAAGUUUAGAACUCUGAUAUAGUUUCUUGCAUCAUUGAUACUUAUUUUUAUUCAGUUACAGAUGGAUCCUUCUUUGCAUACUGGAGCACUCUCUGGUUCGAACUAUGUUCCACCUGCAGCAUUUAGUGUUGGUAGUGUAUCUGAAGCAUUUCCUACAGACACAAAACACUCUUUUCAAUGUUGCAAAACGGUCAAAGAAAGUAGGUUUUGUAGUUCCAUUUAUUUCACUUGCUUAUCAUCAUAGCUGUUUAACUUUAGCUGGUUCUUGUGCUCGAUCAUGCACCCGCCUCCACUACCUAACUGGCUUCGAGAAGAGCUUCUAAAGAAAAAAUCAACUCUAGUGAGUGCUUCAGUGCAACAUCCGACAAAUUCUGAUUCCAUGGAAUCUGAAGAUGCCGCAGAACCACCAAAAAGAGCUAAGCAAACUGGCAGUAGAAGCAUUGGUACAACAAAAUCAAUCGAAGUUGAUGAGGAUGAAGUCGAAGCGGCACGGAUGGCAUCAGUCAACAAGGAAAUUAAACGUGUGUUGACAGAAGUUCUUCUGAAGGUUUCUGAUGAUCUUUUUGAUGAGACCGCAACCAAAGUUAUGAAUGAAGAUGAUUUAUGAGCUGAGCCAAAUGAGACCACUGGUGUCUCUAGCUCAAGGAGCUUGGUCUGGGAGAAUCAAAAGUCGAGACCACAGCUAAGUUGUAGUCCCUGCUAAGCCAAACAAUGUUGGCUCUACUGGUCAUUCUGAUGGUACUGGGCUAAGUUCUCCUAAAGGUGCUCUUCUUGGUCUUGCUAGUUAUGAUUCAGAUGAUGAGGGUGAUGGUGAUGGUAAAGGUUUAAUUCCAAAUUUAUCAUCUGAAAUUAAAGUUGGUGCAGCUCAUCCUAAAGAAAGUAAGUUCUUGAAAAACACAAAGCGGACAUGGUUUCCCAGAAUUUAUUUUCUAGAGAAGGAAGAGCUUAUAUUAGCUUUGAUCUUGCAUGUAUAUUUUUGCCCCUAUCUAUGUAUGUUUCUAUCCAUUUCUUGUGUGCACGCGCUCCAUUGUGUUUGUGUGUGUGACUGUGUGUGUGAUGUGCCCCUAUCUAUGUCUGUUCCUCUCUGUUUCUCGUGUGCAAGUGAUACAUUGUGUGUGUGUGUGUGUGUGUGUGUGCAAGUGCUACAUUGUGUGUGUCUGACUGUGUGUGUGUGAUUUGCCCAUAUCUAUGUCUGUUUCUUUGUCUUUCUUGUGUGCAAGCGCUUGAUUUUGUGUGUGCUUGUGUGACUGUGUGUGUGUGUGUGUUGCAUUUGCUUGAUGGUGUGGCCUGUGUGCUUUGCUGAAUGAUUGGUGUUGUAUAACUUGUGUUUUGUAUUGUUGUGGUUUAACACUGCCUUUUGCCGGUCCCAAGCCCGGAUGCGAAAAUGUGGAGGGAGACGCAUUUACCUCCUUUGUAUUGUUUGCCUUAGAAGUGUGGAUAGAAAUUACUCUGUCCUAAUUGAAUAGUGAAUCUUCACAUAAUGUCGUAGCAUGUGAUUCAAGCUCUGAAAUGCAUCCUUCCUUGCUAUGAAAAAUCUAGUAGGUGUAAUUGUCGCUAGAAUUUGUGCCGUCUCCUAAAUUAAUCUCGUUGGUUUCUUAAAUCUUGUCAGCACCGAUGUUCUUUUCUGCUAAUAUAUACACUUUUCUAAAGAUCAAUCAUCUAUUUUUUAUUUGGCUUUAGGUUGAAUAUUGUGGUUGUCUAAUCAUGCAGGAAUCUCCGCGUCGCACGUGCCCCUCAUCUGUCUGUCACAAGUGUGUGUCGGGUUUAUUUGUUGUUGGGCUAUUUAUUCAGGUUGUGGGUCGCCCACUCCUUGUUUGGACUCCGACCCAUGUGGGGGGUGUCAGUUUCAGUUAUGAGGCAUUUCUAGAGGGGGUGACCUAGAUAGAUAGAUAGAUAGAUAAA
Long non-coding RNA from Triticum dicoccoides, 9275 nucleotides. RefSeq lists it as uncharacterized. The transcript is spliced from 14 exons. NCBI's taxonomy places the organism in Eukaryota, Viridiplantae, Streptophyta, Magnoliopsida, Poales, Poaceae. The record is from RefSeq and is a predicted model, not a curated record.